This 446-nucleotide ribosomal RNA is filed under the name uncultured bacterium. RNAcentral describes it as "partial 16S ribosomal RNA". It matches the Rfam family "Bacterial small subunit ribosomal RNA", at positions 338 to 795 of the family's 1533-position model. The record is from RNAcentral.
CCUACGGGUGGCAGCAGUCGAGAAUCAUUCACAAUGGGGGAAACCCUGAUGGUGCGACGCCGCGUGGGGGAAUGAAGGUCUUCGGAUUGUAAACCCCUGUCAUGUGGGAGCAAAUUAAAAAGAUAGUACCACAAGAGGAAGAGACGGCUAACUAUGUGCCAGCAGCCGCGGUAAUACAGAGGUCUCAAGCGUGGUUCGGAAUCACUGGGCGUAAAGCGUGCGUAGGCUGUUUCGUAAGUCGUGUGUGAAAGGCGCGGGCUCAACCCGCGGAAGGCACAUGAUACUGCGAGACUAGAGUAAGGGAGGGGGAACCGGAAUGCUCGGUGUAGCAGUGAAAUGCGUAGAUAUCGAGAGGAACACUCGUGGCGAAGGCGGGUUCCUGGACAUUAACUGACGCUGAGGCACGAAGGCCAGGGGAGCGAAAGGGAUUAGAUACCCCAGUAGUC